AGAGUUUGAUUCUGGCUCAGGGUUAACGCUGGCGGCGUGCCUAACACAUGCAAGUCGAACGGUUCUAAGCGCGAGCUUAGGAUAGUGGCGAACGGGUGAGUAAAAGGUAGGAAUCUACCCCUUGGACGGAGAUAGCUACUGGAAACGGUAGGUAAACUUCGAUAAGCCCGAGAGGGGAAAGUGGUGAGACAGCCGAGGGAUGAGCCUACUCUCCAUCAGGUAGUUGGUGAGAUAAAAGCUUACCAAGCCGAUGACGGAUAACCGGUGUGAGAGCAUGAACGGUCACAAGGGCACUGAGAGACGGGCCCUACUCCUACGGGAGGCAGCAGUGGGGAAUCUUGGACAAUGGGCGAAAGCCUGAUCCAGCGACGCCGCGUGGAGGAAGAAGUCCUUCGGGAUGUAAACUUCUGAACUAGCCGAAUAAAAGGCCUGUGGACACACAGGAGAAGAAAGUAGGCUAGGAAAAGUCCCGGCUAACUACGUGCCAGCAGCCGCGGUAAGACGUAGGGGGCAAGCGUUACCCGGAAUUACUGGGCGUAAAGGGGGCGUAGGCGGUAAAAGAAGUCAUCUGUGAAAACCUAUUGCCCAACGAUAGGCUAGCGGAUGAAACUGAAUUACUUGAGGGCACCAGAGGUAGGCGGAAUUACCCGAGUAGGGGUGAAAUCCGCAGAUACGGGUAGGAACGCCGGUGGAGAAGUCGGUCUACUGGGGUGCACCAGACGCUGAGGCCCGAAAGCUAGGGGAGCAAACCGGAUUAGAUACCCGGGUAGUCCUAGCCGUAAACGAUGCUCACUAGGUGUAGGGAGUGAUAAACUCUCUGUGCUGAAGCGAACGCGCUAAGUGAGCCGCCUGGGGAGUGCGUCCGCAAGGAUGAAACUCAAAGGAAUGACGGAAG
RNAcentral lists this ribosomal RNA (895 nucleotides) under uncultured bacterium. RNAcentral's name for it is "bacterial SSU rRNA". It matches the Rfam family "Bacterial small subunit ribosomal RNA", at positions 8 to 919 of the family's 1533-position model. The record is from RNAcentral.